Molecule: ribosomal RNA, 485 nt
Filed under: uncultured bacterium
Lineage: Bacteria
Description: partial 16S ribosomal RNA
Rfam family: Bacterial small subunit ribosomal RNA
Source: RNAcentral
GAUGAACGCUGGCGGCGUGCUUAACACAUGCAAGUCGAACGGGAUCCAAGUGGUUCUUGCACUUUUUGGUGAGAGUGGCGAGCGGGUGAGUAACACGUGAGUAACCUGUCCUUUUCUGUUGGAUAAGCAUUCGAAAGGGUGUUUAAUACUUUAUGUUCUUUCUGCCUCGCAUGGGGUGGGUGGUAAAGGCUUUUGCCGGUUUUGGGUGGGCUCGCGAGCUAUCAGCUUGUUGGGGGGGUGAUGGCUUACCCAGGCGUUGACGGGUAGCCGGGGUUAGCGGGUGGGAGGUGACAUUGGGCCUGAGAGACGCUACAGAAUGCUCCGGGAGGCAGCAGUGGGGGAUAGUGCAGAAUGGGGGAAAGCCUGAUGAAGCGACGUGGAGUGGGGGAUGAAGGGCUUCGGGGUGUAAACUUCUUUUGCUCUGAGUAAGGCAUGCCAGUGGGUGUGUGGAGGGUAGGGGUAGAUUAGCGCCGGCUAACUACGUG